UUCAUCUCUCCACUCUCUCUAAAACUCUUAUCUCUAUCCGAUAAACUCAGAAACUCCACUCUUCGUCUCUUACUUUUAAUUCAUACAUACAUACUUCUUUGCCAUCCAAAGAGAAUUACGAGAUGGGCAGAGAAAGCAUUGAAGAAGGAGAGCUAUCAACUCCUCUAGUUGCCAGUGGUACUAGUAGUGGUGACCAUGUUUGUGCCAACACUACUGGUUGUGAUGAUGGUGGUGAGAAUCAGAGUGGAUGUGGAUCUUCCUCAGCCACAGGUGUGGUUGUGGUUAGCACUUUGGUUGCUGUCUCUGGUUCCUAUGUUUUUGGCACAGCUGUGGGAUAUUCAUCACCUGCUCAGUCUGGAAUCGUGGAUGACCUGGGUCUUACUGUGGCAGAGUACUCACUUUUUGGUUCAGUAUUGACAAUUGGAGCAAUGAUAGGUGCAAUAGUGAGUGGAUAAAUAGCAGAUUACAUAGGUAGAAGAGGUACAAUGGGCUUUUCAGAGAUAUUCUGCCUGGCAGGGUGGCUAGCCAUAGCAUUCUCAAAGGGUGCUUGGUGGCUUGACCUUGGGAGACUGUUGGUAGGUUGUGGGAUGGGACUCCUUUCCUAUGUGGUACCUAUAUAUAUAGCAGAAAUAACACCUAAGAAUCUUCGGGGAGGGUUUACAACUGUUCAUCAGUUGAUGAUUUGUUGUGGGGUAUCGUUAACAUAUCUAAUUGGAGCUUUUGUGAACUGGCGAACUUUGGCUCUGAUUGGAACAAUACCAUGUCUAGUACAACUUCUUGGUCUAUUCUUCAUUCUAGAAUCUCCAAGAUGGCUGGCAAAAAUUGGUCGAAAGAAAGAGUGUGAAGUUGCUCUACAGCACCUUAGGGGGCAGAAUGCUGAUAUUACUCUAGAAGCUACUGAGAUUAGAGAGUACACAGAAACCCUUCAACGGCUUUCUGAAGCUAGAAUUCUUGACUUAUUUCAAUGGAAAUAUGCUCAUUCAUUUAUUGUUGGAGUUGGCCUGAUGGUACUACAACAAUUUGGAGGAGUCAAUGGAAUUGCAUUUUAUGCAAGUGCUAUAUUCAUAACAGCUGGUUUUUCGGGUAGUAUUGGGAUCAUAGCAAUGGUCAUUGUUCAGAUUCCAAUGACGGCAUUAGGGGUAAUUUUGAUGGAUAAAUCUGGAAGGCGGCCACUUCUAUUGGUUUCUGCAGCAGGAACAUACUUAGGUUGCUUGCUUGUGGGAUUGUCAUUCUUCUUGCAGGAUCUUCAAACAACGCCAAUUUUAGCACUUGUUGGUGUACUGGUGUACCCAGGAUCUUUCUCAUUAGGCAUGGGAGGAAUUCCUUGGGUUAUAAUGUCAGAGAUAUUUCCCAUAAACAUGAAGGGCUCAGCUGGAAGCCUUGUUACAUUGGUUAGCUGGUUAGGUUCUUGGAUUGUAUCAUAUGCUUUUAACUUUCUAAUGGAUUGGAGCUCAGCAGGAACAUUCUUCACAUUCUCAAGCAUAUGUGGCUUAACUGUUUUGUUCGUAGCAAAGUUGGUACCAGAGACCAAGGGGCGAACACUUGAAGAAAUUCAAGCAUCAUUGAAUCCAUUUUCAGCAAAAAAAUGAAUUUUGCAUGCCUGUACGACAGCACCAAUCCAUGUUCGAAUAAGCAAAAUAAUUUCUAAAACAUCAACUCCAUAAAAUUGUGGCACUGAGUGCUAGACUAAUUGGUGACUGGCUGUCACAAUAAGCAAGGUUUUUUCCAAAAGUCAAGAUCAUCCAAGAAUUAUUUUCUAAAACUGAUGUGGGAUUGAUAACCAUAGCUUGAAACUCUGCAUUGCACUUGGAGAGAAACUACCUAUUCACCUCCUAAUUUAGGGAGUGUGAAAGGUAAAUCUUGAAUUUUUAAACAUUUAGAGACCAUUUGGCUUGUGGAAUCUUUCUUUCCUGAAAUCAUAUCCAUAGAAAUAUAGAAUU
This is an RNA transcript of Quercus lobata, 1940 nucleotides long. It is a transcript of the gene named sugar transporter ERD6-like 5, with no coding region annotated. The transcript has 18 exons. The record is from RefSeq and is a predicted model, not a curated record. Lineage: Eukaryota; Viridiplantae; Streptophyta; Magnoliopsida; Fagales; Fagaceae.